AGUUAACGCUGGCGGCGUGCCUAACACAUGCAAGUCGAGCGAGGAGUACCAGAGUAUCGGGCUCCUAGCGGCAGACGGGUGAGUAACACGUAAACAAUCUGCCCUCGAAUGGGAGACAACCUGAAGAAAUUUAGGCUAAUACCCCAUACAACCCACUUAAAGCAUUUUAAGAGGAUGAAAGGCCCGCAAGGGUCGUUCGAGGAGGAGUUUGCGGCCUAUCAGCUAGUUGGCGGUGUAAUAGACCACCAAGGCUAUGACGGGUAUCCGAUCUAAAAGGAUGAACGGACACAAGGGCACUGAGACACGGGCCCUACUCCUACGGGAGGCUG
This 329-nucleotide ribosomal RNA is filed under the name uncultured Elusimicrobia bacterium. RNAcentral's name for it is "bacterial SSU rRNA". It matches the Rfam family "Bacterial small subunit ribosomal RNA", at positions 29 to 351 of the family's 1533-position model. The record is from RNAcentral. Lineage: Bacteria; Pseudomonadati; Elusimicrobiota; Elusimicrobia.